CGCGCAGGCGGCGGACCAAGUCAGGCGUGAAAGCCCCGGGCUUAACCUGGGAGGUGCGUCUGGGACUGGUAUGCUAGAGUUCGGGAGAGGAGAGUGGAAUUCCCAGUGUAGAGGUGAAAUUCGUAGAUAUUGGGAAGAACACCGGUGGCGAAGGCGGCUCUCUGGACCGAGACUGACGCUGAGGCGCGAAAGCGUGGGGAGCAAACA
RNAcentral lists this ribosomal RNA (207 nucleotides) under uncultured bacterium. Its description in RNAcentral is "partial 16S ribosomal RNA". It matches the Rfam family "Bacterial small subunit ribosomal RNA", at positions 568 to 774 of the family's 1533-position model. The record is from RNAcentral.